GAGAAUCCCCCCACCACUGGUACUGAGGACACGGACCAGACUCCUACGGGAGGCAGCAGUAAGGAAUAUUGGUCAAUGGGGGCAACCCUGAACCAGCCAUGCCGCGUGCAGGACGACUGCCCUAUGGGUUGUAAACUGCUUUUGCCGGGGAAUAAACCCCACUACGUGUAGUGGGCUGAACGUACCCGGAGAAUAAGGAUCGGCUAACUCCGUGCCAGCAGCCGCGGUAAUACGGAGGAUCCGAGCGUUAUCCGGAUUUAUUGGGUUUAAAGGGUGCGUAGGCGGCACUUUAAGUCAGGGGUGAAAGACGGCAGCUCAACUGUCGCAGUGCCCUUGAUACUGAAGUGCUUGAAUGCGGUUGAAGACGGCGGAAUGAGACAAGUAGCGGUGAAAUGCAUAGAUAUGUCUCAGAACACCGAUUGCGAAGGCAGCUGUCUAAGCCGUUAUUGACGCUGAUGCACGAAAGCGUGGGGAUCGAACAGGAUUAGAUACCCUGGUAGUCCACGCCCUAAACGAUGAUAACUCGAUGUUUGCGAUAUACCGUAAGCGUCCAAGCGAAAGCGUUAAGUUAUCCACCUGGGGAGUACGCCCGCAAGGGUGAAACUCAAAGGAAUUGACGGGGGCCCGCACAAGCGGAGGAGCAUGUGGUUUAAUUCGAUGAUACGCGAGGAACCUUACCCGGGCUUGAAAGUUACUGAAGCAUCCAGAGACGGAUGCGUCCUUCGGGACAGGAAACUAGGUGCUGCAUGGCUGUCGUCAGCUCGUGCCGUGAGGUGUUGGGUUAAGUCCCGCAACGAGCGCAACCCCUAUGUCCAGUUGCCAGCACGUAAAGGUGGGGACUCUGGACAGACUGCCUGCGCAAGCAGAGAGGAAGGCGGGGACGACGUCAAGUCAUCAUGGCCCUUACGUCCGGGGCUACACACGUGCUACAAUGGAUGGGUACAGCCGGGCAGCCUACACAGCAAUGUGAUGCCAAUCUCGAAAAGGCCAUUCNCACAGGU
RNAcentral lists this ribosomal RNA (1001 nucleotides) under Sphingobacterium sp. RNAcentral describes it as "bacterial SSU rRNA". It matches the Rfam family "Bacterial small subunit ribosomal RNA", at positions 294 to 1295 of the family's 1533-position model. The record is from RNAcentral. Lineage: Bacteria; Pseudomonadati; Bacteroidota; Sphingobacteriia; Sphingobacteriales; Sphingobacteriaceae.